Eptesicus fuscus (big brown bat) is the source of this 633-nucleotide long non-coding RNA. RefSeq lists it as uncharacterized. Lineage: Eukaryota; Metazoa; Chordata; Mammalia; Chiroptera; Vespertilionidae. The record is from RefSeq and is a predicted model, not a curated record. The transcript is spliced from 2 exons.
UUUGCCUGCUUCCAACAUUGACUGAACUUCACGGGAGGUUACCCAAAACCUUCAGGGUCGUCCUGACUUGUUUCCCAAAGUGUAAUGCCUUGAAUCUUUCCUUGGACUUCCCUCACACUACGUAAUCCCGAAUAUUUGCCUUGGAUCUUUGUGAGGAUGAUAAUCAGGAUGGACUGGCAACUUCCAAACUCCUAUAUGUGGAACCAGAAGCCAGAAGUACACUCCUCCCAUUCUUCACAUUACAAGUCCACCAGGAAGAAUUCUCUCCCCAUCUCUGCCAGAGAAACUUGGUGAGACCUCAGGGACUUCACCAAGAUACCAUGUUCUCCAAGCCAUCCUGAAGAAACACUGAAAGCAGAAGUACCACUCCCAGCCCUGUUCCUGGGCAAAAGCAGGGAGACAGACAUUUGAGGAAGGCCAGUUGCAAAAAAGAGACACAUUUCAAAUUUUCUUAAAUGCCUUUAAUUGGAGACUCAAACCCUCUAAACUGUAGUUCAAGCCUGGCUCUGUGGAACAGCAUCUGGUUCUCAGUGGAGUUAGGGGAGAAAUGCAUAAUUGAGGUUGAAAUGCAGUCUCCCUGGUCUUCCCUUCUAGAGUUUGUUGCUGCUUAAGCCUUAAAAUAAUUGUUUAUGA